RNAcentral lists this ribosomal RNA (370 nucleotides) under uncultured organism. RNAcentral's name for it is "bacterial SSU rRNA". It matches the Rfam family "Bacterial small subunit ribosomal RNA", at positions 526 to 896 of the family's 1533-position model. The record is from RNAcentral.
CGAAGGGUGCAAGCGUUGUCCGGAAUCAUUGGGCGUAAAGUGUAUCGCAGGCGUUUUGGUAAGUUACUUUUCAAAUCUUUCGGCUCAACCGGAAAAAGGGAAGUAAUACUGCCAGGAUAGAAGAAUGUGGGGGUCACUGGAAUUGUCAGUGUAGGGGUGAAAUCCGUUGAUAUUGACAAGAACUCCGAAGGCGAAGGCGGGUGACUACGCAUUUCUUGACGCUCAUGAACGAAAGCUAGGGGAGCGAAAGGGAUUAGAGACCCCUGUAGUCCUAGCCGUAAACAAUGCUCGCUAGUUUCUCCUGAUUUUAUUGGGAGGGACGUAAGCUAACGCGUGAAGCGAGCCGCCUGGGGAUACGGUCGCAAGACUA